GGGGUUGUGGUUCAGUGGUAGAGCGCUCACCUAGCACAUGUGAGACUGGGUUCGAUCCUCAGCACCACA
RNAcentral lists this transfer RNA (69 nucleotides) under Marmota monax (woodchuck). RNAcentral describes it as "tRNA.Ala". The record is from RNAcentral. Lineage: Eukaryota; Metazoa; Chordata; Mammalia; Rodentia; Sciuridae.